GAUGAACGCUGACAGAAUGCUUAACACAUGCAAGUCUUUGGCGAAGCUGUGCUUGCACCGCCUGGCCACGGCGGACGGGUGAGUAACGCGUAAGGAACUUGCCCUGCAGUCAGGGAUAACAGACGGAAACGACUGAUAAGACCUGGUAAAGUCAGGCGGACUCAUGUCCAGCCUGAUGAAAAGAGAUGCUGCAGGAGAGCCUUGCGUCCUAUUAGCUUGUUGGUGGGGUAACGGCCCACCAAGGCGAUGAUAGGUAGCCGGCCUGAGAGGGUGGACGGCCACAAGGGGACUGAGAUACGGCCCUUACUCCUACGGGAGGCAGCAGUGGGGAAUAUUGGACAAUGGGGGCAACCCUGAUCCAGCAAUUCUGUGUGCACGAUGAAGGUUUUCGGAUUGUAAAGUGCUUUCAGCAGGGAAGAAAAAAAUGACGGUACCUGCAGAAGAAGCGACGGCUAAAUACGUG
This 463-nucleotide ribosomal RNA is filed under the name uncultured bacterium. RNAcentral's name for it is "partial 16S ribosomal RNA". It matches the Rfam family "Bacterial small subunit ribosomal RNA", at positions 28 to 507 of the family's 1533-position model. The record is from RNAcentral.